AAUAGAUACCCAGGUAGUCCAUGCCGUAAACGUUGGGCACUAGGUGUGGGGCUCAUUCCACGAGUUCCGUGCCGCAGCAAACGCAUUAAGUGCCCCGCCUGGGGAGUACGGCCGCAAGGCUAAAACUCAAAGGAAUUGACGGGGGCCCGCACAAGCGGCGGAGCAUGCGGAUUAAUUCGAUGCAACGCGAAGAACCUUACCAAGGCUUGACAUGCACGGGAAGCCACCAGAGAUGGUGGUCUCUUUGGACACUCGUGCACAGGUGGUGCAUGGUUGUCGUCAGCUCGUGUCGUGAGAUGUUGGGUUAAGUCCCGCAACGAGCGCAACCCUCGUCCCAUGUUGCCAGCGGGUUAUGCCGGGGACUCAUGGGAGACUGCCGGGGUCAACUCGGAGGAAGGUGGGGAUGACGUCAAAUCAUCAUGCCCCUUAUGUCUUGGGCUUCACGCAUGCUACAAUGGCCGGUACAAAGGGCUGCGAUGUCGUAAGGUGGAGCGAAUCCCAAAAAGCCGGUCUCAGUUCGGAGUU
This 525-nucleotide ribosomal RNA is filed under the name uncultured bacterium. RNAcentral describes it as "bacterial SSU rRNA". It matches the Rfam family "Bacterial small subunit ribosomal RNA", at positions 777 to 1300 of the family's 1533-position model. The record is from RNAcentral.